AAGCCCCUGCAGCCCUCCGCCCCAUGGCCGUUGCCGCGCUCGCGGCCCCCACUCGUGUCCUACUCAGCGCCACUUGUGAGACCCACGGCCCAGAGAACACCCAGCGCCUGUGGCAUAAACUAAUUAAGCAAAUCGAAUAAUUAGCUCGGCAGUGGGACCGAUCUGCUCCCACCCAGCUGCAGCCCCCUCUCGUGGUGUUAGCCCCUCCAGACCGUGCAGGAAGGCAGAUAACCAGCAUUUCCCAAGCCCCUGCUUUGUGCCCGAUGCCGCGCUGAGCCGGGGGUUCAAACAAGUAGAGGAAAGGGCAGGCCGCCUCUGCCCGCGGAGAGGCUGUACUCCAAGGGAACCGCCAAGGAGGGUGGGGAAGGUGCUCCCGGGGAGCCAGGUCGGGAGCGGAGGGAAGCCAAGUCGGUCUGGGCCGGGCCCCAGCGAGGUGCGCCCUCCCCUCGCCUCCCCUGCGCAGCCCGUCGGUGGGAGAAGGGAGAGGGCCCUUGCCGGGGGAGAAGACAGCGGGCACUGAGGGAGAUUCUCAGAUAGGGCGGCAGCCGUGUUAUGGUGGGGAAGCCCAGUAUUCUCAUUUUGAUCUUCCUCUCUCCCUUCUCUAUAUCUUCAUAUGGACUGGCCUUCAGACCUGUAAAGGACUCCUGAGAGGAAUGAUUAUUUCUAUCUCACAAUCAUAGCUAAGUUACUAUUGGGGAAAUCCAGGAUAUUUUCCCUUCAAACCUUAUCCUCUACUAGGUCAAAGCAGCCUCUGAAGAAUAGGAUUGAUAAUGAGAUUAAAUUUAACAUUCUCCUCAAUCUUGUUCAGACCCUACCCAAUUGGGGAAGCCCAGUGUGUUCUACUCAGAUUUGGGGAAGGAGUGGGGCAGGGACUGGAGGGAGAGAGAUUUCUCCUGCGUUCUGCUGAGGAGGGGUUAACCUUUGUCGAGAUGGGCCUCUGGGGUGGUCUGGGAAUGAGUAACAAAAUCCAAGUCAGGUUCCCCCAGCUCCUCAUUAGAAUAAAUCCACCUCUCAUAAUAUUCAUUCUGCUCAUUAAUUAUUAACCAAUUAGAAUUGAUUACCAUUUGUCAGGAACACCCACUCUUCCAAGGGCAUCCACCUUUAGUUUAAGAGAGAAGCCAAAUGACC
Molecule: long non-coding RNA, 1128 nt
Filed under: Sarcophilus harrisii (Tasmanian devil)
Lineage: Eukaryota; Metazoa; Chordata; Mammalia; Dasyuromorphia; Dasyuridae
Description: lncRNA (ENSSHAG00000023149.1)
Source: RNAcentral